Molecule: ribosomal RNA, 449 nt
Filed under: uncultured bacterium
Lineage: Bacteria
Description: partial 16S ribosomal RNA
Rfam family: Bacterial small subunit ribosomal RNA
Source: RNAcentral
GUCGAGAAUCUUUCACAAUGGGGGCAACCCUGAUGGAGCGACGCCGCGUGGAGGAUAAGGUCUUCGGAUUGUAAACUCCUGUCAUGCGUGAACAAGGUUGCUUGGUUAAUACCUGGGCAAAUUGAUGGUAACGCAAGAGGAAGAGACGGCUAACUCUGUGCCAGCAGCCGCGGUAAUACAGAGGUCUCAAGCGUUGUUCGGAAUCACUGGGCGUAAAGGGUGCGUAGGUGGAGUGGUAAGUCAGAUGUGAAAGCCCGGGGCUCAACCUCGGAACUGCAUCCGAUACUGCCAUGCUAGAGUACUGGAGAGGUGACUAGAAUUCUCGGUGUAGCAGUGAAAUGCGUAGAUAUCGAGAGGAAUACCAAAGGCGUAGGCAGGUCACUGGACAGUUACUGACACUGAGGCACGAAGGCCAGGGGAGCGAACGGGAUUAGAUACCCCUGUAGUCC